Molecule: ribosomal RNA, 486 nt
Filed under: uncultured bacterium
Lineage: Bacteria
Description: partial 16S ribosomal RNA
Rfam family: Bacterial small subunit ribosomal RNA
Source: RNAcentral
AUUGAACGCUGGCGGCAUGCCUUACACAUGCAAGUCGAACGGCAGCACGGGUGCUUGCACCUGGUGGCGAGUGGCGAACGGGUGAGUAAUACAUCGGAACAUGUCCUGUAGUGGGGGAUAGCCCGGCGAAAGCCGGAUUCAUACCGCAUACGAUCUACGGAUGAAAGCGGGGGACCUUCGGGCCUCGCGCUAUAGGGUUGGCCGAUAGCUGAUUAGCUAGUUGGUGGGGUAAAGGCCUACCAAGGCGACGAUCAGUAGCUGGUCUGAGAGGACGACCAGCCACACUGGGACUGAGACACGGCCCAGACUCCUACGGGAGGCAGCAGUGGGGAAUUUUGGACAAUGGGCGAAAGCCUGAUCCAGCAAUGCCGCGUGUGUGAAGAAGGCCUUCGGGUUGUAAAGCACUUUUGUCCGGAAAGAAAUCCUUGGCUCUAAUACAGUCGGGGGAUGACGGUACCGGAAGAAUAAGCACCGGCUAACUACGUG